Molecule: ribosomal RNA, 460 nt
Filed under: uncultured bacterium
Lineage: Bacteria
Description: partial 16S ribosomal RNA
Rfam family: Bacterial small subunit ribosomal RNA
Source: RNAcentral
CCUACGGGUGGCAGCAGUGAGGAAUAUUGGUCAAUGGACGAGAGUCUGAACCAGCCAAGUAGCGUGAAGGAUGACUGCCCUAUGGGUUGUAAACUUCUUUUAUAUGGGAAUAAAACGUUCCACGUGUGGGAUUUUGUAUGUACCAUAUGAAUAAGGAUCAGCUAACUCCGUGCCAGCAGCCGCGGUAAUACGGAGGAUCCGAGCGUUAUCCGGAUUUAUUGGGUUUAAAGGGAGCGUAGGUGGAUUGUUAAGUCAGUUGUGAAAGUUUGCGGCUCAACCGUAAAAUUGCAGUUGAAACUGGCAGUCUUGAGGACAGUAGAGGUGGGCGGAAUUCGUGGUGUAGCGGUGAAAUGCUUAGAUAUCACGAAGAACUCCGAUUGCGAAGGCAGUUCACUGGACUGCAACUGACACUGAGGCUCGAAAGUGUGGGUAUCAAACAGGAUUAGAUACCCUAGUAGUC